This 660-nucleotide long non-coding RNA is filed under the name Mytilus galloprovincialis (Mediterranean mussel). The record is from RNAcentral. Lineage: Eukaryota; Metazoa; Mollusca; Bivalvia; Mytilida; Mytilidae.
CAAUAAAAUUGAGAAUGGAAAUGGGGAAUGUGUCAAAGAGACAACAACCCGACCAAAUAAAAAACAACAGUAGAGGGUCACCAACAGGUCUUCAAUGUAGCGAGAAAUUCCCGCACCCGGAGGCGUCCUUCAGCUGGCCCCUAAACAAAUAUAUACUAGUCCAGUGAUAAUGAACGCCAUACUAAUUUUCAAAUUGUACACAAGAAACUAAAAUUAAAAUAAUACAAGACUAACAAAGGCCAGAGGCUCCUGACUUGGGACAGGCGCUAAAAUGCGGCGGGGUUAAACAUGUUUGUGAGAUCUCAACCCUCCCCCUAUACCUCUAACCAAUCUAGAAAAGUAAACGCAUAACAAUACGCACAUUAAAAUUCAGUUCAAGAGAAGUCCGAGUCUGAUGUCAGAAGAUGUAACCAAAGAAAAUAAACAAAAUGACAAUAAUACAUAAAUAACAACAGACUACUAGCAGUUAACUGACAUGCCAGCUCCAGACUUCAAUAAAACUGACUGAAAGAUUAUGAUUUCAUCAUAUGAACAUCAGGCACAAUCCUUCCCGUUAGGGGUUUAGUAUCAUACCAUCAUAACAUAUAUGAGAAGAAAAUAACCCGUGUCAUGCCAACAACUGUUUUUAGAAUAAAUGUGUUUAGUUCCGAUGCAAAGACC